This 348-nucleotide unclassified non-coding RNA is filed under the name soil metagenome. Its description in RNAcentral is "partial contains 5.8S ribosomal RNA, internal transcribed spacer 2, and large subunit ribosomal RNA". The stretch from base 1 to 120 matches the Rfam family "5.8S ribosomal RNA", at positions 35 to 154 of the family's 154-position model. The record is from RNAcentral.
GAUGAAGAACGUAGCGAAAUGCGAUAAGUAGUGUGAAUUGCAGAAUUCAGUGAAUCAUCGAAUCUUUGAACGCACAUUGCGCCCUCUGGUAUUCCGGAGGGCAUGCCUGUUCGAGCGUCAUUAAAACUACUCAAGCUAAGGUUUUACCUUCUGCUUGGUCUUGGGUUUGAGGAUUCAAAAUCCUCUCUCCGGAAUCCAGUGGCGAAUUGUUUGAGCUGUAGACGUAGUAAAUCAUUCUACCCGUUGCAAGCGAGAAUAAUAUUCAGCCAUAACCCCCAUACUUUUCUAGUUUGACCUCGGAUCAGGUAGGGAUACCCGCUGAACUUAAGCAUAUCAAUAAGCGGAGGA